Molecule: ribosomal RNA, 390 nt
Filed under: Triticum aestivum (bread wheat)
Lineage: Eukaryota; Viridiplantae; Streptophyta; Magnoliopsida; Poales; Poaceae
Description: partial small subunit ribosomal RNA
Source: RNAcentral
AUGGCUACGUUCGCCGUCGCAACUGUUUCCCUUCCAGGGCGCGUUGCCGGAACUCGGCGGUGUGUGGUGGCGCGGGCGUCUGCGACAAUGGCGGUGGCCGGGAGGACGCACUACGAGGUGCUCGGGCUGGGCGCGGGGGCCAGCAGGGAGGAGAUCAAGGCGGCGUACCGGCGUCUUGCCAGGGACGUGCACCCGGACACUGCCGGUGGAGGUGGCGACGAGGACUUCAUCCGGCUGCACGCGGCUUACGCCACGCUGGCCGACCUCGACGAGCGCGCGCGCUACGACCGGGACGUGGCCGGCCGCGCGGCGGGGACCAUGAUGAGGCGGGCUGGGUCGACGGGGCCAGCAUUCCGGCGGAGGACGUGGGAGACGGACCAGUGCUGGUAG